RNAcentral lists this ribosomal RNA (294 nucleotides) under uncultured bacterium. Its description in RNAcentral is "partial 16S ribosomal RNA". It matches the Rfam family "Bacterial small subunit ribosomal RNA", at positions 333 to 619 of the family's 1533-position model. The record is from RNAcentral.
CAGCUCCUACGGGAGGCAGCAGUAGGGAAUCUUCCACAAUGGGCGAAAGCCUGAUGGAGCAACGCCGCGUGGGUGAAGAAGGUCUUCGGAUCGUAAAACCCUGUUGUUAGAGAAGAAAGUGCGUGAGAGUAACUGUUCACGUUUCGACGGUAUCUAACCAGAAAGCCACGGCUAACUACGUGGCAGCAGCCGCGGUAAUACGUAGGUGGCAAGCGUUAUCCGGAUUUAUUGGGCAUAACGGGAACGCAGGCGGUCUUUUAAGUCUGAUGUGAAAGCCUUCGGCUUAACCGGUGU